Molecule: long non-coding RNA, 1764 nt
Organism: Quercus robur (English oak)
Lineage: Eukaryota; Viridiplantae; Streptophyta; Magnoliopsida; Fagales; Fagaceae
Exons: 2
Source: RefSeq, a predicted model, not a curated record
UUGAGUAAAACAGAGCCUCUCUUUUUUUGUAGUGUUUUAUAAUUCUAUAUUUUUUUGUUUUUUGUUUUUAUUUCUAGUUUUCUGAGAGUUUUUUUCAUAUAAAGGAUUGCCUAAGUUUUGAAUACGCUAUGAAGCUGUGUGAUCAGAUCGUUAAAGAGCUUAUUUUUAAGGCUUUGCGAUGUUAAGUUAUACUGUAUAUACAGAGAGAUUUUUAUUUCUUAAGAUGUUAAAUUCAUUUACACUAUGAAUUUGUAUACUUUUUUUUUCAAUCAAGUGUAGGAUUAUGAUGAUCAAAUUGAGGUUAUUUCAAAGUGACCCCAUUCUCUAUUUUACAUUUUAAUCUGCAAAACGUAAGUGAUCUUGGCAUCUUGCACAGAUUAGUUUGGUAUCAGAUUGAGUGUUUCAACGUACAACCAUAUCUCUCUCUCUCUCUCUCUCUCUCAUUUUGACUUUGAAUGGUUUAGUGCAGCUGGCAUUAGAUCUUGCUUUAUUACUGUAGCAGAAAGCAAUGGUAAAUAAGUCGAUAACACAAACUCUAUUCAACAUGCCUGGGUGACUUGGUCUCAUUUGGAGUCUCACAUUGAAUAUGAAACCUUUUUUUUUAAUGAGAAUGAAUAUGAAAAUUUUGUUUCCUCCAUUAAUAUGUUUUUCACCCAAUUCUUUUUCUUUCCCUGCUCCUUGUUCCCUAGAAUUAGUUUAAUCACAUAAUUGAUUAGUACAGGAACAAGCCAAUCAUAAUGAUAACAUCUUUAUUUCCAGUCAUUUUUUUCACGUAGUGCAAUGAAAUGGAUUAAGUUAUUGCUAAGAUCAUAUGAUAUUGAGACCAAUUUGGUUACUCUUUCAUUUGAGCCAUAUUUUCCAAUUUGAUUGAAUUUGUUCCAAAUGUAAUGCCAAUCAUAUCAAUGGAACUGUGUGAAUUUUAGUGCAGGCUGUGCAUCAUUUAAGAAAUGAUAAUGAAAAUAAUAAGAUAAAUUAAGAGAAUAUUUUAAGGCAUGCCAUGAAAUACAUGCGUCCAAAACUCUCCAAAUUAUUCAACCACUGAAAGUCAUGUCCUCGUCUAAUUUCAACGUUGCAAUCAGAUUACAUUUUAAUUUUUCAACGAAUAUUUUUGUUGCCUUGACCAUCUAAUAUAUUCAACAAAGAAAGGAGUAGGUUUGUAUAUAAAAUUGGUACGGGCUGCCACUUUUUGCAAAAUUUUGUGGUAGUUUAAGGGGACAAGUAACAUAUGCCCCAUCCAUGCCAUAAUGUGAUCACUCAUGGCCUGCAAUUGAAGAAUUGAACCACUCCACAGCCAAAUAAGAUGUACUCUACACUUUCCCAGGCCAUCCAACAAUUAAUUAAUAAUCAAUUAAUUAAUCCGGCCAAAUGAUAAAGUAUUAAGCCACUAAUUGGGCAAUACUAUUCAUAGAUGUUGUAUUCAUAUACCAAAAUGUCAGCAGAGGGAUAAGCCCAAAAAUGGCCAAAGUGAUAUGCUGAUGAAAUAUCCUUAUAAGGCUGACUUUUUGUGUGUAAAUAUGCAGGGUGGGUCCAAAUGCAUGCGUAUAGUGGAUUUGUUUAUCAUUCUCUCAAGCAAUGUCAGCUGGUCAAGGGUGGCAUGCCAUGCGAUCCAUGACUUCCUUUUCUACCAUUUUUGCUCUUUCAUAACCUUCGGUUCUAUGCCCUCUUUGCCUCUUAUCUUGUAAAUGGCUGUGAUGCAUAUCCACAAAGUUCCAUGAUAUAAUUAACCGAACUGGUGUUUGGUAUCUGUGCUUUUCUGCCAGUAUA